This 253-nucleotide ribosomal RNA is filed under the name uncultured bacterium. Its description in RNAcentral is "partial 16S ribosomal RNA". It matches the Rfam family "Bacterial small subunit ribosomal RNA", at positions 524 to 776 of the family's 1533-position model. The record is from RNAcentral.
UACAGAGGGGGCCAGCGUUAUUCGGAAUUAUUGGGCGUAAAGGGCGCGUAGGCGGCCAUGCGUGUCUUCCGUGAAAUCCCUCGGCUUAACUGAGGACGUGCGGAAGAAACUGCAAGGCUUGAGUCCGGGAGAGGGGGGUGGAAUUCCCAGUGUAGCGGUGAAAUGCGCAGAUAUCGGGAGGAACACCAAUGGCGAAGGCAGCUCGCUGGGACGUGACUGACGCUGAGGCGCGAAAGCUAGGGGAGCAAACAGG